AUAAUGAUACUUCUCUACGGAGCCGGUGGAGUACCCAGCGGGAGCGAGAGCUCAUGA
This 57-nucleotide non-coding RNA is filed under the name unclassified sequences. RNAcentral describes it as "pemK RNA". It matches the Rfam family "pemK RNA". The record is from RNAcentral.